RNAcentral lists this ribosomal RNA (460 nucleotides) under uncultured bacterium. RNAcentral describes it as "partial 16S ribosomal RNA". It matches the Rfam family "Bacterial small subunit ribosomal RNA", at positions 338 to 795 of the family's 1533-position model. The record is from RNAcentral.
CCUACGGGUGGCAGCAGUGAGGAAUAUUGGUCAAUGGGCGAGAGCCUGAACCAGCCAAGUCGCGUGAAGGAUGACGGCCCUACGGGUUGUAAACUUCUUUUGUCAGGGAGCAAUUGAGUCCACGUGUGGGCUUAGCGAGAGUACCUGCAGAAAAAGCAUCGGCUAACUCCGUGCCAGCAGCCGCGGUAAUACGGAGGUUGCGAUCGUUAUCCGGAUUUAUUGGGUUUAAAGGGUUCGUGGGCGGAAUAUCAAGUCAGCGGUAAAGAUUAGGGGCUAAACCCCGUCGUGCCGUUGAAACUGAUGUUCUUGAGUGGGCGAGAAGUAUGCGGAAUGCGUGGUGUAGCGGUGAAAUGCAUAGAGAGCACGCAGAACUCCGAUUGCGAAGACAGCAUACCGGCGCCCAACUGACGCUGAAGCACGAAAGCGUGGGUAUCGAACAGGAUUAGAUACCCCGGUAGUC